UACGGAGGGUGCGAGCGUUGUCCGGAAUCAUUGGGCGUAAAGGGCGCGUAGGUGGCUUCUUAAGCGUGCGGUGAAAGCCUGGGGCUCAACCCCGGGUCGGCCGUGCGAACUGGGGGGCUGGAGCACUGUAGAGGCAGGCGGAAUUCCACGUGUAGCGGUGAAAUGCGUAGAGAUGUGGAGGAACACCAGUGGCGAAGGCGGCUUUCUGGUCUGUAACUGACGCUGAGGCGCGAAAGCGUGGGGAGCAAACAGG
Molecule: ribosomal RNA, 253 nt
Filed under: uncultured bacterium
Lineage: Bacteria
Description: partial 16S ribosomal RNA
Rfam family: Bacterial small subunit ribosomal RNA
Source: RNAcentral